Molecule: ribosomal RNA, 483 nt
Filed under: uncultured bacterium
Lineage: Bacteria
Description: partial 16S ribosomal RNA
Rfam family: Bacterial small subunit ribosomal RNA
Source: RNAcentral
AUUGAACGCUGGCGGCAGGCCUAACACAUGCCAGUCGAGCGGAUGAAGGGAGCUUGCUCCUGGAUUCAGCGGCGGACGGGUGAGUAAUGCCUAGGAAUCUGCCUGGUAGUGGGGGAUAACGUCCGGAAACGGGCGCUAAUACCGCAUACGUCCUGAGGGAGAAAGUGGGGGAUCUUCGGACCUCACGCUAUCAGAUGAGCCUAGGUCGGAUUAGCUAGUUGGUGGGGUAAAGGCCUACCAAGGCGACGAUCCGUAACUGGUCUGAGAGGAUGAUCAGUCACACUGGAACUGAGACACGGGCCAGACUCCUACGGGAGGCAGCAGUGGGGAAUAUUGGACAAUGGGCGAAAGCCUGAUCCAGCCAUGCCGCGUGUGUGAAGAAGGUCUUCGGAUUGUAAAGCACUUUAAGUUGGGAGGAAGGGCAGUAAGUUAAUACCUUGCUGUUUUGACGUUACCAACAGAAUAAGCACCGGCUAACUUCGU